UGGCAGGGGCGACAUUGCGCGGGUCC
This 26-nucleotide small RNA is filed under the name Bombyx mori (domestic silkworm). Its description in RNAcentral is "ovarian small RNA-34766". The record is from RNAcentral. Lineage: Eukaryota; Metazoa; Arthropoda; Insecta; Lepidoptera; Bombycidae.